RNAcentral lists this ribosomal RNA (310 nucleotides) under uncultured bacterium. RNAcentral describes it as "bacterial SSU rRNA". It matches the Rfam family "Bacterial small subunit ribosomal RNA", at positions 28 to 339 of the family's 1533-position model. The record is from RNAcentral.
GACGAACGCUGGCGGCGUGCUUAACACAUGCAAGUCGAGCGGUAAGGCCCUUUCGGGGGUACACGAGCGGCGAACGGGUGAGUAACACGUGGGUGACCUGCCCUCAGCUCUGGGAUAAGCCUGGGAAACCGGGUCUAAUACCGGAUAUGACUCCAUGACGCAUGUUGUGGGGUGGAAAGCCUUGUGCGGCUGAGGAUGGGCCCGCGGCCUAUCAGCUUGUUGGUGGGGUGANGGCCUACCAAGGCGACGACGGGUAGCCGGCCUGAGAGGGCGACCGGCCACACUGGGACUGAGACACGGCCCAGACUCC